RNAcentral lists this long non-coding RNA (1578 nucleotides) under Homo sapiens (human). Its description in RNAcentral is "HSALNT0142235". The record is from RNAcentral. Lineage: Eukaryota; Metazoa; Chordata; Mammalia; Primates; Hominidae.
AAAAAUUACCACAAGCAUUGUAGCUUUAAAAAAUGUACAUUUCUUUGUCCACAGUUCUGUAAUGUCAGAUGUCAGAUAUUUAGGCAUGGCUAGCCUCCCUAUUCAGGGUCUCAGCAGCUGAAAUCAAGAUGCUAAAAGAGCUACUCUGAUCUGAGGUUCAGUUUCUUCAUCCUUGAUUAUUCAGGUUGUUGGCAGAACCCAGUCCCUUGUGGUUGUACAACCGAGAUCUCCUUCUACUGGCUAGCUUUUAACUAGGUGCUUCUUUCAUCAUUUACAGGAUACUCAUGUGCAUUCUCACGUGGCUGUCUCCAGGUGAGAAAUUCUCAUGUGGCUGUCUCCAGGCGAGGAAUUCUCACAUGUCAAAUCUCCCUCAUGCUUCAGAUCUCUGACUUUCUUUGCUUCUAAUCUCCAGACACAGAGUUAGAGGCCUCAUAUGAUUAGACCAAUCCCAUUCAGAUAAUCUUCUUACUUUAAGGUCAACUGAUUUGGUACCUUAAUUAAAUCUGCAUAAUCCUUUCCAGCAGUACUUGGUGUUUAAUUGAAUAACUGGGAGAAGUUGUGUGUACAGCAGAGGUCAGGAAUCUUGGUGGCUGUAGUGGAUUGGAUAAUGGCCCCCAAAAUAUAUGUUCUGCAAUUUCAGAAUGGGACCUUAUUUGGAAUAAAUAUCUUCAUCCACCAGAAGCCAGGAAUGAGUCAUGGACCCAGUGCUGCUUCAGGGCCUGACGAUGUUACCUACAAACACCUUAAGCUUGUACUUCUAGCCUCCAGAACUUUGAGGGAAUAUAUUUAUUUGGUUUUAGACCACCAGGUUUAUGGUAAUUUGUAAUAGCAGUCUUAGGAAAUGAAUACAGGGGGCAUUUUAGGAUUCCGUGUAUCACAGUUUCUACAAUUUUCUAGGCUGGGAGACAAUUCUCCGUGGAUCUGUUGCAUUUUUGCAUAUCCUGCAAAGCAAGGCAUUGUCUUUUUUUUUUUUUUUUUCUGAGCUGUAUCUGCAGCAUAAAACAGACGUAGUUACUGCUUCUUAGGAAAUAUUUGGCUCUCCAAGCUCAAGGAUCCUCUCUGUAAAACAGCUUUCUGUGUAUGCAGACUUUCAUCUGGGCUCAGUUGCAUCACUGCUGUGGGUUUUGUGGACAAGAAAGAUUGGUGCAAAUAGUCUGACAAUCAUGAUGCUUGCUGUGUCACGAGUUAAUAAAGUUCUUUGUCUCUAACCCAGGAGUCUCGUGUUUCCUAUCAGUUUCCAUAAAACUGUGGCAAGCUCACUUGUUAGUUUGCAAGUAGUGGUAAAAUCUGAGACCCUUUCUGGUUUCUAAAAGUAUAUGCUAUCAUAUCAUCUGCAAAGAGAGAUAGUUUUAUUGUUUAUGUUCAGUCUGUAUUACUCUUUUAUCUAAUUGUUACUAACACCUAAAAUGCAAUGUUAAAUAUCAGUGAAGACAGCGAGCAUCUUUGCUUUAUUCAUUAUCGGAGUGUAAAAGCUUUCAAUGUAUUCCUAUUAAGUAUGAUGCUGACUUUAGGAAAUAGACACACACAAACAUACACACACACACACACACACACACACACACACAUGAUCAUCCUAAG